AACGAACGCUGGCGGCAUGCCUAACACAUGCAAGUCGAACGCGGCCUUCGGGGCUAGUGGCGCACGGGUGCGUAACCCAUGGGAAUCUACACUCAGGUGUGGAAUAACUCCGAGAAAUUGAUGCUAAUCCCGGAUGGUUACGUAAGUCCAAUGGUUUAUCGGCUGAGGAUGAGCCCGCGUAGGAUUAGGUAUUUGGGUAGGUAAAGGGCCACCAAGCCGACGAUCCUUAGCUGGUAUGAGAGGAUGAUCAGACACACCGGACCUGAGACACGGCCAAGACUCGGAAGGGAAGCAGCAGGGGGGAAUAUUGGACAAUGGGCGGAAGCCUGAGCCAGCGAGGCCGCGGGAGUGAUGAAGGCCUUAGGGUUGGAAAGCGCUUUUACCCGGGAUGGUAGUGAGGGUACCGGGUGAAUAAGCUCCGGCUAACUACGUG
RNAcentral lists this ribosomal RNA (433 nucleotides) under uncultured bacterium. RNAcentral describes it as "partial 16S ribosomal RNA". It matches the Rfam family "Bacterial small subunit ribosomal RNA", at positions 29 to 507 of the family's 1533-position model. The record is from RNAcentral.